UGGAGGGGAGCAACAUAGUUGCACAGUAAUGUCCACAAAGUCCCACAUUAGCGGGGGAACCAGGUGGUACCGCCGGUGAUAUGAAACGACGAAGAACACCUGGACACGACGCAGAAAUGCGUCACGAUCGUCGCCCUGCAUUGCAACCUCGUCUGUGGUGCAAGGCAACCUCGCAUUUCGAGGCAGCACUCGUGUGAUGGCGACGGA
This 207-nucleotide long non-coding RNA is filed under the name Hordeum vulgare. Its description in RNAcentral is "long non-coding RNA (HVUL_LNC020092)". Lineage: Eukaryota; Viridiplantae; Streptophyta; Magnoliopsida; Poales; Poaceae. The record is from RNAcentral.